GAGGGCGCAGAGCUUCCUGCAACACUCACAUGUGCUGCUCCUUUGCAAGUGGGGUGCCACGGUUCCUGGCGCCUUGGGAGCACUGCGCAGCAUCUCUCCUGCAUCCCAUCUGCAGCAUCCACGGCGCCCGAGCACCACGCGUGACCCAGCAGCCGUGUCUUCGAAAUUCCUCCUCUGUUACAGGCUGCUUGCUGCUUUAGCUGCAUUUGACCAGCCACUGCAGCAGUUUUCUCCACUACCAGCACAAAAGGGAUGGGUGGGCUGUGGUGUCGUGCAGACAGUGCUCUAACUAAAACGCUUCUCAGUGGCAUGCACAGAAAGUUAAGAGGAGAAAAAAAGCAUUGAUUUCUGUUUGAAAAAUGUUCAAAGCUCAAUGUUUGUACAAAAGCUCAGGAAACUCUUCCGAGAGCACAAGCUAGUUAGUCAUUAAAUUGGUAGUUUAUUUAUUUUCCGAGAAAGAGGAGGAAAGGGGGAGAGCGUGGGGGACAUGUAGGAGUUGAAAGAGCACUCGUGUUAUUCACCAUGCAGCCAGGAGAAGAAAAUAAAGAGGCAAUUAGAAGGUCAGAGCCAAUAAUAAUACACUGGCAACCCACAGAAGCUAUAAAGCAGGUGUUUGUUCUCUUGGUAUUUUUACUGCAAACCAUCAUUAAAGCUGUGUGACACCA
This is a long non-coding RNA of Pezoporus occidentalis (night parrot), 665 nucleotides long. RefSeq lists it as uncharacterized. The transcript has 2 exons. Lineage: Eukaryota; Metazoa; Chordata; Aves; Psittaciformes; Psittacidae. The record is from RefSeq and is a predicted model, not a curated record.